This 79-nucleotide transfer RNA is filed under the name Toxorhynchites speciosus. RNAcentral's name for it is "tRNA-Cys". Lineage: Eukaryota; Metazoa; Arthropoda; Insecta; Diptera; Culicidae. The record is from RNAcentral.
UUUUAAUCAAACUUUAUAUUCAUUUAAUAAUGAUAUUAGAUUGCAAUUCUAAAGGAAUAAUAAUAAAUUAUUGAAGUUU